UGGGAUACUAUUGAAACUAGUCUCUGGUUUGGAGACACCGACAUUGCUCGCUUCUGGUCCAUCCGAGCUGAGCGGGCAGACAACUGGGACCUUACAGAGAUCGAUGCCAUUCAGCCAGAUCUAUCUUUUCUUGCCAACCGAGAGUGGGAACUAGAACAGGAUUAUGUUUGCCUAUUCCAACGUAUAACGCCACCUGUCUCUGACAUGAUGGGGCUUAUUGACUGUAUACCACUGGAAGCAUUGAGUUUAGUUCCUCCUCCCCAGCAACCAAGCCUGUUAUCAGGGGACCUUGGUAC
RNAcentral lists this long non-coding RNA (296 nucleotides) under Pelobates cultripes (western spadefoot toad). Lineage: Eukaryota; Metazoa; Chordata; Amphibia; Anura; Pelobatidae. The record is from RNAcentral.